GGUUAAGCGACUAAGCGUACACGGUGGAUGCCCUGGCAGUCAGAGGCGAUGAAGGACGUGCUAAUCUGCGAUAAGCGUCGGUAAGGUGAUAUGAACCGUUAUAACCGGCGAUUUCCGAAUGGGGAAACCCAGUGUGAUUCGUCACACUAUCAUUAACUGAAUCCAUAGGUUAAUGAGGCGAACCGGGGGAACUGAAACAUCUAAGUACCCCGAGGAAAAGAAAUCAACCGAGAUUCCCCCAGUAGCGGCGAGCGAACGGGGAGCAGCCCAGAGCCUGAAUCAGUGUGUGUGUUAGUGGAAGCGUCUGGAAAGGCGCGCGAUACAGGGUGACAGCCCCGUACACAAAAAUGCACAUGCUGUGAGCUCGAUGAGUAGGGCGGGACACGUGGUAUCCUGUCUGAAUAUGGGGGGACCAUCCUCCAAGGCUAAAUACUCCUGACUGACCGAUAGUGAACCAGUACCGUGAGGGAAAGGCGAAAAGAACCCCGGCGAGGGGAGUGAAAAAGAACCUGAAACCGUGUACGUACAAGCAGUGGGAGCACGCUUAGGCGUGUGACUGCGUACCUUUUGUAUAAUGGGUCAGCGACUUAUAUUCUGUAGCAAGGUUAACCGAAUAGGGGAGCCGAAGGGAAACCGAGUCUUAACUGGGCGUUAAGUUGCAGGGUAUAGACCCGAAACCCGGUGAUCUAGCCAUGGGCAGGUUGAAGGUUGGGUAACACUAACUGGAGGACCGAACCGACUAAUGUUGAAAAAUUAGCGGAUGACUUGUGGCUGGGGGUGAAAGGCCAAUCAAACCGGGAGAUAGCUGGUUCUCCCCGAAAGCUAUUUAGGUAGCGCCUCGUGAAUUCAUCUCCGGGGGUAGAGCACUGUUUCGGCAAGGGGGUCAUCCCGACUUACCAACCCGAUGCAAACUGCGAAUACCGGAGAAUGUUAUCACGGGAGACACACGGCGGGUGCUAACGUCCGUCGUGAAGAGGGAAACAACCCAGACCGCCAGCUAAGGUCCCAAAGUCAUGGUUAAGUGGGAAACGAUGUGGGAAGGCCCAGACAGCCAGGAUGUUGGCUUAGAAGCAGCCAUCAUUUAAAGAAAGCGUAAUAGCUCACUGGUCGAGUCGGCCUGCGCGGAAGAUGUAACGGGGCUAAACCAUGCACCGAAGCUGCGGCAGCGACACUAUGUGUUGUUGGGUAGGGGAGCGUUCUGUAAGCCUGUGAAGGUGUACUGUGAGGUAUGCUGGAGGUAUCAGAAGUGCGAAUGCUGACAUAAGUAACGAUAAAGCGGGUGAAAAGCCCGCUCGCCGGAAGACCAAGGGUUCCUGUCCAACGUUAAUCGGGGCAGGGUGAGUCGACCCCUAAGGCGAGGCCGAAAGGCGUAGUCGAUGGGAAACAGGUUAAUAUUCCUGUACUUGGUGUUACUGCGAAGGGGGGACGGAGAAGGCUAUGUUGGCCGGGCGACGGUUGUCCCGGUUUAAGCGUGUAGGCUGGUUUUCCAGGCAAAUCCGGAAAAUCAAGGCUGAGGCGUGAUGACGAGGCACUACGGUGCUGAAGCAACAAAUGCCCUGCUUCCAGGAAAAGCCUCUAAGCAUCAGGUAACAUCAAAUCGUACCCCAAACCGACACAGGUGGUCAGGUAGAGAAUACCAAGGCGCUUGAGAGAACUCGGGUGAAGGAACUAGGCAAAAUGGUGCCGUAACUUCGGGAGAAGGCACGCUGAUAUGUAGGUGAAGUCCCUCGCGGAUGGAGCUGAAAUCAGUCGAAGAUACCAGCUGGCUGCAACUGUUUAUUAAAAACACAGCACUGUGCAAACACGAAAGUGGACGUAUACGGUGUGACGCCUGCCCGGUGCCGGAAGGUUAAUUGAUGGGGUCAGCGCAAGCGAAGCUCUUGAUCGAAGCCCCGGUAAACGGCGGCCGUAACUAUAACGGUCCUAAGGUAGCGAAAUUCCUUGUCGGGUAAGUUCCGACCUGCACGAAUGGCGUAAUGAUGGCCAGGCUGUCUCCACCCGAGACUCAGUGAAAUUGAACUCGCUGUGAAGAUGCAGUGUACCCGCGGCAAGACGGAAAGACCCCGUGAACCUUUACUAUAGCUUGACACUGAACAUUGAGCCUUGAUGUGUAGGAUAGGUGGGAGGCUUUGAAGUGUGGACGCCAGUCUGCAUGGAGCCGACCUUGAAAUACCACCCUUUAAUGUUUGAUGUUCUAACGUGGACCCGUAAUCCGGGUUGCGGACAGUGUCUGGUGGGUAGUUUGACUGGGGCGGUCUCCUCCUAAAGAGUAACGGAGGAGCACGAAGGUUGGCUAAUCCUGGUCGGACAUCAGGAGGUUAGUGCAAUGGCAUAAGCCAGCUUGACUGCGAGCGUGACGGCGCGAGCAGGUGCGAAAGCAGGUCAUAGUGAUCCGGUGGUUCUGAAUGGAAGGGCCAUCGCUCAACGGAUAAAAGGUACUCCGGGGAUAACAGGCUGAUACCGCCCAAGAGUUCAUAUCGACGGCGGUGUUUGGCACCUCGAUGUCGGCUCAUCACAUCCUGGGGCUGAAGUAGGUCCCAAGGGUAUGGCUGUUCGCCAUUUAAAGUGGUACGCGAGCUGGGUUUAGAACGUCGUGAGACAGUUCGGUCCCUAUCUGCCGUGGGCGCUGGAGAAUUGAGGGGGGCUGCUCCUAGUACGAGAGGACCGGAGUGGACGCAUCACUGGUGUUCGGGUUGUCAUGCCAAUGGCACUGCCCGGUAGCUAAAUGCGGAAGAGAUAAGUGCUGAAAGCAUCUAAGCACGAAACUUGCCCCGAGAUGAGUUCUCCCUGACCCUUUAAGGGUCCUGAAGGAACGUUGAAGACGACGACGUUGAUAGGCCGGGUGUGUAAGCGCAGCGAUGCGUUGAGCUAACCGGUACUAAUGAACCGUGAGGCUUAACCUU
RNAcentral lists this ribosomal RNA (2903 nucleotides) under Escherichia coli. RNAcentral's name for it is "23S ribosomal RNA". It matches the Rfam family "Bacterial large subunit ribosomal RNA". Lineage: Bacteria; Pseudomonadati; Pseudomonadota; Gammaproteobacteria; Enterobacterales; Enterobacteriaceae. The record is from RNAcentral. RNAcentral also lists the same sequence under 1 other name.